This 305-nucleotide ribosomal RNA is filed under the name uncultured bacterium. RNAcentral describes it as "bacterial SSU rRNA". It matches the Rfam family "Bacterial small subunit ribosomal RNA", at positions 331 to 654 of the family's 1533-position model. The record is from RNAcentral.
CUGGACCUACGGGAGGCAGCAGUCGGGAAUAUUGCGCAAUGGAGGAAACUCUGACGCAGUGACGCCGCGUAUAGGAAGAAGGUUUUCGGAUUGUAAACUAUUGUCGUUAGGGAAGAUAAAAGACUGUACCUAAGGAGGAAGCCCCGGCUAACUAUGUGCCAGCAGCCGCGGUAAUACGUAGGGGGCAAGCGUUAUCCGGAUUUACUGGGUGUAAAGGGAGCGUAGACGGCCAUGCAAGUCUGAUGUGAAAACCCGGGGCUCAACCCCGGGACUGCAUUGGAAACUGUGCGGCUGGAGUGUCGGAG